GCCUUCUUAGCUCAAGUGGUAGAGCAUUGCAUUUGUAUACACCCUUUCUGUUAACAAUGGCAAAUGUCAGUCGUUCAAUCCGGCUAGGCA
This is a non-coding RNA of Rhodocollybia butyracea, 90 nucleotides long. NCBI's taxonomy places the organism in Eukaryota, Fungi, Basidiomycota, Agaricomycetes, Agaricales, Omphalotaceae. The record is from the annotation of a GenBank genome assembly.